GCCUGGAUAGAGGGGUCAAGGCAUGAGACCCUUAAUCUCAGGCUCACGGGUUCGAGCCCCACGUUGGGUG
Podarcis lilfordi (Lilford's wall lizard) is the source of this 70-nucleotide non-coding RNA. NCBI's taxonomy places the organism in Eukaryota, Metazoa, Chordata, Lepidosauria, Squamata, Lacertidae. The record is from the annotation of a GenBank genome assembly.